RNAcentral lists this long non-coding RNA (210 nucleotides) under Physcomitrium patens. RNAcentral's name for it is "long non-coding RNA (PPAT_LNC000395)". Lineage: Eukaryota; Viridiplantae; Streptophyta; Bryopsida; Funariales; Funariaceae. The record is from RNAcentral.
UUAAUAAGUCCAAUUAUUUUCAAAAAUUUUAUACUUUUUAAUUAUUUAUUGAUUGAAGUUUGGGUGAAAUUUUAGCUAAGAUCUAUGAUUCAAGUAAUAUUUAUUGAGGUUUCAAACAACUAUAGUAAUUAAUUAAAUUAUUUAGAAUUUAGGAUUUAGCUAGGACUUAAGAUUUUGUUAGGAUUUGAUUAAGUUUGGUCUAGAAUUUAG